This is a long non-coding RNA of Dalotia coriaria, 1084 nucleotides long. RefSeq lists it as uncharacterized. The record is from RefSeq and is a predicted model, not a curated record. The transcript is spliced from 4 exons. NCBI's taxonomy places the organism in Eukaryota, Metazoa, Arthropoda, Insecta, Coleoptera, Staphylinidae.
AGUGUAUCGCGGCUAUGUUGUUUACCUGUUUUGAAGUGCCGUCGGCCAUCUUCCAAUUGUAAUUGAAGAAAUACCAGUGAGGGUCAGUGACGUUUCAUGAGUUACAAUGCACAGGGUGAGAGUUCAUGGGUGAGAUUAUAAUUAAAUUCUUCAUUUCAUGGGCAUAAUUCAGUUUCGCGUCAUUGUAAUUGUCAUUCCGGUUUGAAUUACUAUAAAUUUAAUACGAGUACAUUGCCCGCCUGGGAAAUGCUUACUUUUACCGAUCUUCUGAUACAUUCAACGACAAAUUUUUCAUAUUAAAUUAUAUUAAUACAACGAUCUUUAAUGUUUACACUGAAAUGCCCCUGAUAUGCGAAUUUAUUGACAUUUUCUUUCGGUUUGCUCCGCCGGCUGAUGUGAGAUGCUAGGCCGGUUGGUGCAUGAAAAUAAAACUGAUAAAAAUUUAUUUAUUCCGUACCCUACAACUUGCACACGAGAAUUGUUUGACUUCUACUUGUUUAUCGGUGUUGUUAGUAUUUCUAUUCAUUAGAUUAUAUUUAAUAUUUCUAAAUAUUUCAUUGAAUUACUUUGAUUUGUUCUUACCGCAGUUUUACUUGAUCGGGAAUUUCCCUUCAGUACAGUUCAACCAUUUUCCAAAUUUCGAGUUUUCUAGUGUCGAUUCAUGCAAACAAUUCUGGUUUUAAUGCAAAUCCAUUCCCUGAUAUGUUUCCUACUUGGCAUCAAUACUUGUUCUACGAUUUUCAAUCUCAGGAUUUGCAUUCCUGGAUUUCGACCAGCAACCCGCGAAGGUGGACUAAGACGACAACUGGACUAAAAUACCCAGAACAGUCCAAGAAAUUGAAGAUUGGAUUGCCGGUGUUGAUGAUGAUUCCAAAUACGAUUGAAUGAAAUUACAACAUUUUGAGACUGAUAUUGAUCAUUUUUAUGUAUUUUGUUAAAAGAUUUAAAAAAUAGCAUUAUAUAAUUGCAUAUUAUUAUCCUGUUUUCAUGCAUGUUUUGUUAAAAAUGGUGUAUAUAUUGAGAAAUUGAGUUUGUGAUUCUACAUGUUUCAAUAAAAUUGAUGUUUUAUAUUUUUAACUAUAAA